This 253-nucleotide ribosomal RNA is filed under the name uncultured bacterium. Its description in RNAcentral is "partial 16S ribosomal RNA". It matches the Rfam family "Bacterial small subunit ribosomal RNA", at positions 524 to 776 of the family's 1533-position model. The record is from RNAcentral.
UACGAACCGUGCGAACGUUGUUCGGAUUCACUGGGCUUAAAGGGCGCGUAGGCGGGCCAGCAUGUCCGGGGUGAAAUCUUUCGGCUUAACCGGAAAAGGGCUUCGGAAACGGCUGGUCUUGAGGGAGGUAGGGGCAGGUGGAACUUCCGGUGGAGCGGUGAAAUGCGUUGAGAUCGGAAGGAACGCCGGUGGCGAAAGCGACCUGCUGGACCUCUUCUGACGCUGAGGCGCGAAAGCCAGGGGAGCAAACGGG